AUUGAACGCUGGCGGCAGGCCUAACACAUGCAAGUCGAACGAGUGGCGGACGGGUGAGUAAUGUCUGGGAAACUGCCUGAUGGAGGGGGAUAACUACUGGAAACGGUAGCUAAUACCGCAUACCAUCGGAUGUGCCCAGAUGGGAUUAGCUAGUAGGUGGGGUAAAGGCGCACCUAGGCGACGAUCCCUAGCUGGUCUGAGAGGAUGACGAUCCAAACUGGAACUGAGACACGGACCAGACUCCUACGGGAGGCAGCAGGGGGGAAGAGUGCACAAUGGGCGCAAGCCUGAUGCAGCCAAGCCGGGUGUAUGAAGAAGGCCUUAGGGUUGUAAAGUACUUUCAGCGGGGAGGCGUUACCCGAAGAAGAAGCACCGGCUAACUCCGUGCCAGCAGCCGCGGUAAUAC
This 406-nucleotide ribosomal RNA is filed under the name uncultured bacterium. RNAcentral describes it as "partial 16S ribosomal RNA". It matches the Rfam family "Bacterial small subunit ribosomal RNA", at positions 29 to 526 of the family's 1533-position model. The record is from RNAcentral.